This 127-nucleotide small RNA is filed under the name Marmota monax (woodchuck). Lineage: Eukaryota; Metazoa; Chordata; Mammalia; Rodentia; Sciuridae. The record is from RNAcentral.
GCUGGGCAUGGUAGCACAUGCCUGUAAUCCCAGUGGCUCAGGAGGCUGAGGCAGGAGGAUCGUGAAUUCAAAGCCAGCCUCAGAAACUUAGUGAGGCUCUAAGCAACUCAGUGAGACCCUGUCUCUA